Molecule: small nuclear RNA, 151 nt
Filed under: Mus pahari (shrew mouse)
Lineage: Eukaryota; Metazoa; Chordata; Mammalia; Rodentia; Muridae
Description: predicted gene, 23895 (MGP_PahariEiJ_G0033332.1)
Rfam family: U1 spliceosomal RNA
About the family: U1 is a small nuclear RNA (snRNA) component of the spliceosome (involved in pre-mRNA splicing). Its 5' end forms complementary base pairs with the 5' splice junction, thus defining the 5' donor site of an intron.
Source: RNAcentral
ACUGUUAGCUGGCAGGGGAGCUACCGUGACCUUGAAGAUGGUUCUCCCAUGGUGAGGCAUGCCCUCUGCACUCCUUAUGUAUGCACGUCCCCAAAUGCAGGAAAUUCAACUGGAUCAUUUGGGAGGGGGGCUGAAUUUGUGCUUCCCCCUA